RNAcentral lists this ribosomal RNA (434 nucleotides) under uncultured bacterium. RNAcentral's name for it is "partial 16S ribosomal RNA". It matches the Rfam family "Bacterial small subunit ribosomal RNA", at positions 29 to 507 of the family's 1533-position model. The record is from RNAcentral.
AGCGAACGCUGGCGGUAGGCUUAACACAUGCAAGUCGAACGAACCUUUCGGGGUUAGUGGCGGACGGGUGAGUAACACGUGGGAACGUGCCUUUAGGUUCGGAAUAACUCAGGGAAACUUGUGCUAAUACCGAAUGUGCCCUUCGGGGGAAAGAUUUUUCGCCUUUAGAACGGCCCGCGUCUUUUUAGCUAGUUGGUUGAUGUAAUGGCUCACCAACGCGACGACCAGUAGCUGGUGGGAGAGGAUGAUCAACCACAUUGGAGCUGAGACACGGCCCAAACUCCUACGGGAGGCAGCAGUGGAGGAUCUUGCGCAAUGGGCGGAAGGCUGACGCAGCCAUGCCGCGGGAAUGAAGGAGGUCUUAGGGUUGUAAAAUUCUUUCACCGGAGACGAUAAUGACGGUACCCGGAGAAGAAGCCCCGGCUAACUUCGUG